GGGUCAGUAGGUUGGUCGUGCCACCGGUACGUACUGGUCUCACUGAUUCCUCCUUCCUGAAGAACCGUAAUGCCAUUAAUUUGGUGUUGCGGGGAAACAGGACUGUUACUUUGAAAAAAUUAGAGUGUUUAAAGCAGGCUAACGCUUGAAUACAUUAGCAUGGAAUAAUGAAAUAGGACGAUCGAUCCUAUUUUGUUGGUUUCUAGGAUUGACGUA
This 216-nucleotide ribosomal RNA is filed under the name Glomeromycotina sp. Its description in RNAcentral is "partial small subunit ribosomal RNA". The stretch from base 40 to 216 matches the Rfam family "Eukaryotic small subunit ribosomal RNA", at positions 686 to 864 of the family's 1831-position model. Lineage: Eukaryota; Fungi; Glomeromycota. The record is from RNAcentral. RNAcentral also lists the same sequence under 1 other name.